Pseudophryne corroboree (corroboree frog) is the source of this 72-nucleotide non-coding RNA. Lineage: Eukaryota; Metazoa; Chordata; Amphibia; Anura; Myobatrachidae. The record is from the annotation of a RefSeq genome assembly.
GGGGAUGUAGCUCAGUGGUAGAGUGUGUGCCUUGCAUGUAUGAGGCCCCGGGUUCAAUCCCUGGCAUGUCCA